CUCUGCGCCCGCCCUCGACGCGGACCCUGGGCCCGGACCCCGCGGCCGCCGGGGCGCCCCUUCUCGGUCCCCGUGCGCCCAGCCCCUCGCCCCGCACCCGGGCACCCCCGCGGGUUUCUCCUGAGUUCCUGGAGCUCCCAGGGCUGGCGCUCACGCCAAAAGAGAGGUUAAAACCAAGAAAUGGACAAAGCCUCCGAAUGAAGGCAGCCCUUUAAAUGGAGUAAAUUUGGUUUCAUGGCACAUUAAUGGGGCAUCUUCUCUCUGAAGACACAGAGACAACUGCAGUAGAUUAGGGGGCCAUCAGGAAUUGGAGGAACGAAGGUAAAAAGAAGAAGGUAAGAAAAAGAGGUCUCUGCCUCUGUGGGGUAGGGACAGUGCUGAACAGCAGGGCUCGGGAGCCCACAGGGAGGUGGCCAGGAUGGCCACAGGGCCUGGGGAGGACCAGGUGGGGCACCAUCCUGGGUGGAGAAUGCCCAUCACCUACCCUAGGGGCCACCCAGAAUGCAGAUUAAAUAAACAUUCAGGAAUGGCAGCGGAGCUUUUCCAUUUUCGUGGGUUCAGAGGGAACCUGCUGCGUUCAAGAGGAUAACGUGGGACCUGAGCAUUCUGUCAAAGUGGGGGAAGGAGGAGCUUGAGAUUGCAAAAUCCGUUUGAGAAGAAGCCACCUUGACUGGCUCCACUCUAAUAGCCUGGACGCUGCCUCCACUCUCCAGGUGCACUGCUCAGCAUUCUCCAAGAAGAUCAUUAAGGCAGACCCUACAUGUUAAAUUUCAAUCAGUUUCAUCGAGCAAAUAUGCUGUUAAACAGAGAAUGCUGUGUGCUGCGUCAGAGCGCUUAUGGGCAAAUGUGAUGGUAACUAUAAAUGCAGACCAAGCAGUCCUUCCCACACUGUGUACACAAAGAAAUGAGCUCUGGAACUGGGAGCCAGGACAACUGCAGGAGGAGAAUUCUGAAGUGAAAGGAGGCCUGGAUAUUGUUUGCAAGGCCUUGUCCCUAGAGCCUGGAUGCUCUCAGACCUUCCUCCUCUGGGCCUCAAGGUCCAGGACAGUGCCAGGGAGAGUUCAUAGAAACAAAUGUGUUCCAGACCUUGGCAGCUGUCUGACUCUGAGACAGUAACCUGGCCACUCUAAGUUUCCUCAUUUUUUUUUUUUUUUUUAAUUUAAGUUCUGGGAUACAUGUGAAGAACGUGCAGGUUUGUUACAAAGGUAUGCGUGUGCCAUGGUGGUUUGCUGCACCUGCCAUCUAGGUUGUAAGCCCCACAUGCAUUAGGUAUUUGUCCUAAUGCUCUCCCUCCCCUUGGCCCCUACCCCCUGACAGGUCCUGGUGUGUGUGUUGUCCGCCCCCAGCCCCCGGCGUGUCCAUGCGUUCCUAUUGUUCAACGCCCACUUAUGAGUGAGAAUAUGUAGUAUUUGGCUUUCUCUUCCUGUGUCGGUUUGCUGAGGAUGGUGGUUUCCAGCUUCAUCCAUGUCCCUGCAGAGGACAUGAUCUUAUCCUUUUCAUGGCUGCAUAGUAUUCUGUGUUGUAUAUGUGCCACAUUUUCUGUAUCCAGUCUUCCAUUGGUGGACAUUUGGG
Molecule: long non-coding RNA, 1572 nt
Organism: Rhinopithecus roxellana (golden snub-nosed monkey)
Lineage: Eukaryota; Metazoa; Chordata; Mammalia; Primates; Cercopithecidae
Exons: 3
Source: RefSeq, a predicted model, not a curated record